GCCCGGCUAGCUCAGUCGGUAGAGCACAUGGCUCUUAACCAUGGGGUCGAGGGUUCGAGCCCCUCGUUGGGCG
RNAcentral lists this transfer RNA (73 nucleotides) under Mayetiola destructor (Hessian fly). Its description in RNAcentral is "tRNA-Lys for anticodon CUU". It matches the Rfam family "tRNA". From Rfam's summary of the family: Transfer RNA (tRNA) molecules are approximately 80 nucleotides in length. Their secondary structure includes four short double-helical elements and three loops (D, anti-codon, and T loops). Further hydrogen bonds mediate the characteristic L-shaped molecular structure. tRNAs have two regions of fundamental functional importance: the anti-codon, which is responsible for specific mRNA codon recognition, and the 3' end, to which the tRNAs corresponding amino acid is attached (by aminoacyl-tRNA synthetases). tRNAs cope with the degeneracy of the genetic code in two manners: having more than one tRNA (with a specific anti-codon) for a particular amino acid; and 'wobble' base-pairing, i.e. permitting non-standard base-pairing at the 3rd anti-codon position. The record is from RNAcentral. Lineage: Eukaryota; Metazoa; Arthropoda; Insecta; Diptera; Cecidomyiidae.